UUUCCAAUGGAAGCAAAAGUUGCAAUGGACAUUGCUCAAGUUGAUGGCACUUCUGAGUUCCCACUGGCUAGCAUCAACAAGAAAAUGGUCAACGCACAGAGGACAACGGUAGAUUUGAACGAGGUUCCUUUCAAGAUUAAAGAAGAGCACUUGAAUCGGCUUAGGGCACUCUCUAGAACUGGUAAAGAUGUUUGCAGCUACAUUUAUCAUCAAAGAGUCCUCGUUAUUUAUGUUUCUCUUCUUUCAAUUCUUGAUAUAUGGUCUGCUAGGGAUCGUUUGGUACAUGGAAUAAGGAUAAUAAUUCCGGGAUAGAAUUUUGGAUUGUAGUUAUCCCAUGUUUGGUUAUAGCCGUUAGCUUAUCCCGUACAGAAGGUGGGAUAGCUAAUCUAUGAUAUAUCCACCAUUAUACCAAACUAGCCCUUAGCAUAUAAAUUGUGAGCGCAGUGGUUGUCCUUUGUUUUCUGCUUCUUACUUUUAUUUCUUGGCCUUUUUUUUGGGGUGUCUGUGGGGUUUGGGGUGGGNNNNNNNNNNNNNNNNNNNNNNNNNNNNNNNNNNNNNNNNNNNNNNNNNNNNNNNNNNNNNNGGCGGAAUGGGGGAUACUGGGAAAGGGAUGCAAGCGAGAUUCUUCCCAUAUGGGAAAUAAUGGACUUUAGGAAUUUCAGGGUCAAAAUAUUAUAGUAUGGCUGUACUUCUUAAAAAAGAUGCAGUACUCUCAACAGAGAUUAGUAUAAGCUUUGAGGAAUAAAAGAAGAAUUGGUAGAAAUUCUCAUAGGUGAAGCAAAUGAAAUCUUUUUUCGGACAAAAAAGAUAUAAAAGUAAAACUGCAGUGGCUAAGAAAGCUUCGGAGAUUGAAAACGUCGAAAUAAGUGGCGUCAGUUGGAAAAAUGUGGGUUGUUGCCCUGUUGUGAAUACAACUGAACGGUAUUGUUAUUUAUUUCACUUGAGAUGGGCCUUGAGAGUGCUUGAUUUCUGAAUAUACUCUGAAUUUUGUGCUUUGAAGUCUCCUGUGUUGAACAUGAGCUUUGAAAAUAAACCAUUCUCUACUUGUGUUUGUACAAGCAGUGGAACUUGGAAAACGCUUCUUUCCGCGUUGUUCAGAAGUUCUAAACAAGAUCAUGGAUGCUGAUGACUUGUCUGAGAUAGCAUACAUGGGGAAUGAUACGGCGGAAGAGCGUCAACUGAAGAAGCAAAGGUACAUGGAACUUCAAGAAAUUCUGAGUAAAGCAUUCACUGAGGAUAAAGAAGAAUUUGAUAUGACUAACAACAUUUCCUCA
RNAcentral lists this long non-coding RNA (1274 nucleotides) under Nicotiana benthamiana. RNAcentral's name for it is "long non-coding RNA (NBEN_LNC025369)". Lineage: Eukaryota; Viridiplantae; Streptophyta; Magnoliopsida; Solanales; Solanaceae. The record is from RNAcentral.